UUGGCGACAUCGACCUGCGCGUUCUGGCUGGCUAGCUUACCGAUGGCUUCGCUGAUGGAAGGGUGCCAGCUGACGGCUCGGCUUACCGCGUCGUUCAGCGUGAGGACGCCGGGAAUGGCAUCGUUUAGCGGCAGCGCGCGUGCGCCGUCGAGCGCGGGGAGUUCCUGCUGGUCUUGCAGUCCUUGCGGGGAAAUCGGCAAUGCGGCGUUUUGCGCCAGAAGCGGAGCGGAAUAUAAGGCACAGAGUAGACCCCAACUGACGGGUAUUUUAAUGCUCAUUAUGGAUCCUUAUAAAAACGGCACAGUUCCCUAUUGUUUAACGCCGGGCGUGGCCGCGCCCGGCGUU
RNAcentral lists this small RNA (345 nucleotides) under Kluyvera ascorbata. RNAcentral's name for it is "isrL Hfq binding RNA". It matches the Rfam family "isrL Hfq binding RNA". Lineage: Bacteria; Pseudomonadati; Pseudomonadota; Gammaproteobacteria; Enterobacterales; Enterobacteriaceae. The record is from RNAcentral.